GCCCGCCCAAACCCAACGCCAACACGGAGCCAGUAGAACCGAGGAAGCGCGCGCCGCUCCAAGCAUCCCUUGUCCCGUAAGUGUUGGAGUAAGAGGAACAAAGUUGCAGUAAUUUAUGACAGAAGGCUUUAUGGCAGGGCUAAGUUCGCACAUGCGUACAAACGUGCACCAUAAACUUUGCUAAGCCCCUACAGCUUGGGAAAGGAAUGAUACGUCGUGCACCCCCACAAAAGGAGUUUCAAUGACGAUGGCACAAUCGCAACAACAACAGGGCAACAAUCGGCGAGUACCUGACGCCCAUUAGCAAAUCCUUUCGCCACGAUUGCAAGCAUUCAGUGCACCUGAUGAGUUCGAUAAACUGUAGCGGAAAGCAAUUCCGUGAAGGGACCAAAUGUUUCAAGAUUUCACUGACACCCACCCUCUCUUUGUUCCUGCUUUACAUUCGAAAUAGCACCCCAAACCUUCCAUCUCUUUUGAGUACAGCGGCCAUCUUGUACACACAUCUCUUUCUAGCAUGAGUUUCAAUAUGGCGGAUGCUGCGCGGGUGGGGUGGCUUCCGGAGGGUGUAUGAAGUUGCCGCGAAAUUAGAUGACUUUUAGGGGGAAGUAAUCAAUAUUAGAAACUUUUGUUAUGGACGGACGCAC
Molecule: long non-coding RNA, 644 nt
Organism: Hyposmocoma kahamanoa
Lineage: Eukaryota; Metazoa; Arthropoda; Insecta; Lepidoptera; Cosmopterigidae
Exons: 4
Source: RefSeq, a predicted model, not a curated record